Molecule: long non-coding RNA, 2782 nt
Organism: Gasterosteus aculeatus aculeatus (three-spined stickleback)
Lineage: Eukaryota; Metazoa; Chordata; Actinopteri; Perciformes; Gasterosteidae
Source: Ensembl
UGUCAACACUGCCCAUCCCUCACAAACUCAAAUGGAAUAGGACGCUGAGGCCCUGGUUACAAAGCACCUGUGUUUGAGGCACCCACUUACCUCCAGUGGUGGGUUAUGGUUGGCACAACAGCCUGCAGGACAAGUCUGGGAAUUACAAAGCCACGGUCAGACACCUCUAACUAUCAGUGAUAAAUGUCAACCGCCUGAAGAGAAAAUCAGCUGCAGACAACUCCAGCAAAAAUAUUGAAAAAAGCAAACAUAUUUGAGAUUUUUGACGAUGACAAUGCUGGAGCUGGUCAAGAGGACAUUACUACAUUGUGUGUGUGUGUGUGUGUGUGUGUGUAUAUAUGUAUGGGGAUGUUAUUGUGCAUUUGGAUGAGAAUUUUUAUUAGUUAUGUGGCUCACAGUUGACAGUCCCUGAGCAAGAGGUAUAACUCACGUAGCUCAUUAUUUUUAAUUAAGCUACAGCGCUUCUGUCUAAUCUCACCAGCUCUGCGUGCAUUUUCUAUGUUCUGUUCUGCUGCACUGCACUGCUGUAAAACAAUUACAUCAAUGUAACAUUCAGUUUGUCUUCUACAGCCAAUGAUUAUAACUAACAUGUCUGUGUAUGUAUUUGGUAAAUGCCUACAUAAUUCAUAAGCCAUUGAAUGUGUUGAAUAAUAUUCUUACAAAUGUCAAUGAAUGCAUUUAUUUGGCAAAGACUGGAGCUCAGAGGGUCACAUUUUGAUUUAUUUCAAUAAUAUAUCCUGUGUACUUCUGUGUGUCCUGUCACUGACACAGAAGGUGGUUGAAAGACAUCAUUCUGAAUGCUUGUGUGGUAGAUGGCAUGAGUAAUCUCUCAAGAUGUCAGUGAGGUAAUUUUAUUUUUCUCUCAACCACCAAAAGUUUGCCAUUAGGCAAUCAUGCUGCGUCAGGAUUUCUUCGCCUCCAAAGGAUUUCUGCAUUUUAUCGCACCUAAUACAUAUUCAAAUAGAAUGCAAGAUCUCAGUAAUAGUAAUGGCAUGCCAUAAAAUGAUCGGAUAGCAUUUACAGUGUCUGUGUGUGUUUUCUCUGUUGUGUUCACUUAGAAUCCCACAAUAAAUGCAGUAGUCGCUCCAAAACAUCUCACGCAUACUGUAUUGUUUCAUUGCAUUUGGAGUCCCAGGUGAUAGCAUUAAUAAUGUAAAGACUAGCGGGAAAUCAAUUCAUGGAUAAUUAUGAACGCUUGCAGACAGCUGAAAAUAUUUGUGCUGGCAAAACAAUUCCAAGGGCUUUAUUCAAUACGUAUUAGGCAUUUUGAGGGGAAAGGUGAUUUUGUGUGUUCAAAUACAUAUUCAUUUACAAUAAUUUAUUUAUAUGUAUAUAUAUAUAUAUAUAUAUAUAUAUAUAUUCAUAAUAAAAAUUCAAAUGUACAACAGAACACAGCAGUUAGAUGUGGCAAAGUACUUUGAGCACAGCUGUGUGUUCGGUGUUCCUCCAUUCGAUAGAGUUGUUUUAUUAAGCAGUUUGAAUGGCAGUGUUACUGCGCAGAGGCGCAGAGAGCAGGAGUGCAAUAGGUCAGAGGAAGAGAGGGGGGCUAGUGGUUAGAGGAGUUCAUCAAGGUUGAGAGACAGGCUGGCGGCCAACAAAGGGUCACCUUAACCUUGUAGAGGACAUACAUGUAGGGGAGGAGGACAUGGGGAGCAUUGUGUUCAAAACUUCAAGAAACUAGUUAUGAGGGACACACUCAGACGAGGGCGAGGUAGGGGAUUCAGGUCCCCCCAAUAUGAUGUUCCAUGAAUGUAUACAAUUUAGUAUUCUACAAAAAAUAAAGCUGUGUGAGACAGCUAGCCACGUGUAAAACUAGAUAAAGAUCUUGUUAGUCUUGUGCCUUUGCCAACGAGCUUUACAUCAAUCUUCUUGUCUACUCAAUUUUCAUGAUGAUUUUUAAUGAAGCCGGCUAGUUUACAUGGUAGACUCCAGUCUGUGCAUUUACACUUUACUCAAUGUGACCAACCAACAGUAAAAAUAUGUCAUCAAUACAAAAAAAAAAUAUCGACAGAAAACGCCAGCUUUUUUUGCUGCAUCUCUUUGCUACAUGUUUUUGGAAUAUUUGUCUCUUUGUCUUAGUUGGAAAAUGUUGUGUCAUUGAAUGAGGACAUCACUGCACAGGUAUACCUUUUCCUGGAUUAUCAGGAUCAAAUCUGUGAUUUGCAUGGUCCGAGGAGGCAUUUCCAAUCAAUUUGGAUUCAUUUUAAAAGGGGAGAGUCCAUCACAACAUCAUGGCUGGGAUGUCACUGCGGCUCCCAACUUCCAUUCCCUGAAUAGUAAUAGGCCUGGAGAAUAUUAUUUUUUACAGUUCUAUAAUUUUCACACCAUGGUCAAUUUUCAACUUAUGGUUAAUCGACACACUAGCAUUCCCAGUGUGGCAAAAUCCUUAUGAAAUUAUUCAUAAAUAGCUUUUAUAGUUAAUGGAUGUUAAAUGGUUGUAACAUCCAAAGAGAAUGAAUAAUAUCAUGAAUAAUACUAUUUUUACGGUGUAAUGAUUAUGUAAAACUGUUUCAUCAAAUGGCCGUCAGGUUUUUUAGUCUUUAGUUUGUCAGCUUUUGAUCAAUUUGAUUGCUGUACAAGCAAGCAGUAAUUAUGACAAAUAUAAUUAACAAUGUUUGAAAUACUCCAAUACUACUACAAAAUUCCAACCGUAACUUUAAAUCAGCACACAAGAGUUCUGUAGCGCUAGGAAUGGGUGCACAAAAGCAUUCCUUCCCUCUUAUAUUUUGUGGAAAAUAAUACACCAACCAAUAAGGUAAGGGCAGCAUCUCUUUGAUGCCAC